CUCCCACGUCCAAGGAUGGCAGCAGGCGCGAAAAUUGUCCACUCUUUUGAGAGGAGACAGUUAUGAAACGUGAGUAGAAGGGUCGAGUGUAAAAACCUUGACGUGAAGCAAUUGGAGGGCAAGUUUUGGUGCCAGCAGCCGCGGUAAUUCCAACUCCAAGAGUGUCUAUGGUGGAUGCUGCAGUUAAAGGGUCCGUAGUCGUAGAUGCAAUUAAAAGGUGGUGUUAAAAGCCAUUGAGUUUGUUGAGAGUAGCGGAACGGAUAGGGAGCAUGGUAUAGGUGGGCAAAGAAUGAAAUCUCAAGACCCCACCUGGACCAACGGAGGCGAAAGCGAUGCUCUUAGACGUAUCUGGGGAUCAAGGACGAAGGCUAGAGUAUCGAAAGUGAUUAGACACCGCUGUAGUUCUAGCAGUAAACUAUGCCGACAAUGCUGGGUGUUGCGAGAGCGAUGCUUGGUGUGGGAGAAAUCUUAGUUUUCGGGCUCUGG
This 486-nucleotide ribosomal RNA is filed under the name Ecytonucleospora hepatopenaei. RNAcentral describes it as "SSU rRNA". It matches the Rfam family "Microsporidia small subunit ribosomal RNA", at positions 266 to 751 of the family's 1311-position model. Lineage: Eukaryota; Fungi; Microsporidia; Enterocytozoonidae. The record is from RNAcentral.